AGCCCUAAAAGCUAACAGGCCAGCAAUUAAUCUUGUAAAUUAAGAGAUAGAAGUUCAAGUCCUCUAUAGGGUUA
This 74-nucleotide transfer RNA is filed under the name Aquilonastra batheri. RNAcentral describes it as "tRNA-Thr". Lineage: Eukaryota; Metazoa; Echinodermata; Asteroidea; Valvatida; Asterinidae. The record is from RNAcentral.